AUUGAACGCUGGCGGCAGGCCUAACACAUGCAAGUCGAGCGGAUGAAGGGAGCUUGCUCCUGGAUUCAGCGGCGGACGGGUGAGUAAUGCCUAGGAAUCUGCCUGGUAGUGGGGGAUAACGUCCGGAAACGGGCGCUAAUACCGCAUACGUCCUGAGGGAGAAAGUGGGGGGUCUUCGGACCUCACGCUAUCAGAUGAGCCUAGUGCGGAUUAGCUAGUUGGUGGGGUAGAGGCCUACCUAGGCGACGAUUCGUAACUGGUCUGAGGGGAUGAUCAGUCACACUGGAACUGAGAGACGGUCCAGAGUCCUACGGGAGGCAGCAGUGGGGAAGAUUGGACAAUGGGCGAAAGCCUGAACCAGGCAUGGCGCGUGUGUGAAGAAGGUCUGCGGAUUGGAAAACACUUUAAGUGGGGAGAAAGGGCAGUAAGUUAAUACAUUGCUGUUUUGAGGUUACCAACAGAAUAAGCACCGCCUAACAUGGU
RNAcentral lists this ribosomal RNA (483 nucleotides) under uncultured bacterium. Its description in RNAcentral is "partial 16S ribosomal RNA". It matches the Rfam family "Bacterial small subunit ribosomal RNA", at positions 30 to 506 of the family's 1533-position model. The record is from RNAcentral.